This 468-nucleotide ribosomal RNA is filed under the name uncultured bacterium. RNAcentral describes it as "partial 16S ribosomal RNA". It matches the Rfam family "Bacterial small subunit ribosomal RNA", at positions 28 to 507 of the family's 1533-position model. The record is from RNAcentral.
GACGAACGCUGGCGGCGUGCUUAACACAUGCAAGUCGAACGGAAAGGCCCUGCUUUUGUGGGGUGCUCGAGUGGCGAACGGGUGAGUAACACGUGAGUAACCUGCCCUUGACUUUGGGAUAACUUCAGGAAACUGGGGCUAAUACCGGAUAGGAGCCCCUGCUGCAUGGUGGGGGUUGGAAAGUUUCGGCGGUUGGGGAUGGACUCGCGGCUUAUCAGCUUGUUGGUGGGGUAGUGGCUUACCAAGGCUUUGACGGGUAGCCGGCCUGAGAGGGUGACCGGCCACAUGGGGACUGAGAUACGGCGCAGACUCCUACGGGAGGCAGCAGUGGGGAAUAUUGCACAAUGGGCGGAAGCCUGAUGCAGCAGCGCCGCGUGCGGGAUGACGGCCUUCGGGUUGUAAACCGCUGUCGCCUGUGACGAAGCGUGAGUGACGGUAAUGGGUAAAGAAGCACCGGCUAACUACGUG